Trachemys scripta elegans is the source of this 1449-nucleotide long non-coding RNA. RefSeq lists it as uncharacterized. The record is from RefSeq and is a predicted model, not a curated record. The transcript has 3 exons. Lineage: Eukaryota; Metazoa; Chordata; Testudines; Emydidae.
ACAAGCGCUGACUCGCUGCUUUCCCUGGCCAACCUCCUUCAUUUUUGCCACUGAGUUUAAGCCACCAGCUGCUUAGCCAGGCGCCCGGCGGUGUUUGCUCCCCCAGAGAGGAGCCGGAGGGACCAAGUGCAGCGGUGUUUAUCCUUUUGGCUUUUCUCUGGAGAAUUAUGCCACAUCUGAAGUUGUAUAAGAUGCACUAUAGCAUAGUAAAUAUUCUGGCUACAGCUGGGCAAAUUCACAACUAAACUCAUGACCAGAUGUGGAAUCAAGAAGUUCCAACUGAAGCUUUGGAGCAACCAUUCAAAUUGAAACCACUUAAAAUGGCAGCAUUAACUGCUGUGUUUUAUACAGAACAAGAUCUGACUUUUCGUGGCACCUUGCCAGUUAUUGUCUUCACCUGGGGAGCCAAUUUAGCCACUGUGUAAGCAGAUGCAUCUCCCAUUGACUUCAGAAAGAGUUUUACCAAAUAGAACCAGAGCUGAAUUUGGUUUGUGGAUGGAAGUUUCAGUUUCCUUAUCAGGGGACGUAACAUGGGCAGUUGUACCUUUGUGAUUGCUGUGAUGCCAGCAGGAAUUGAUACAACUAUUAUUUUGUGUGGGGGGGGGGGUAAACAAUUAACUCUGUAACUAAAUGCUAUAGUUUUAGAACACUAAAUGGAUAUAGAUUAUACCAGCUCUCUGUAUCCUUCUACCAUCUGUCUGUAUUCUCAGUGUCUGAAUUCCACUACAUUAAAUGGAUGUGGUGUGAAAGAGAGUGAGAGAGAGAAAAAUUAAUAUCAAGUGAAGUUAUAUGCAUGUUCAUUAUGCUUACCCUAUGAAUCAAGUGAAAUUUAUGGACCAGCGUGUUUAACUUAGAAAACUGAUGGAAACAUCCUUAAGGACAGGAAGUUUAGGAAACUAAAGAAUUUGAUGGCAAUUUUGUGCCUGGGAUUUUAAAAUAAUGUAGUUUAAAACUGCUUUACAAGUUUGAUACUGACUGCAAGGUGUUUUCCUUUUUAAUGAGUAAAAAAUGCUGCCCUCUUAGAAACCAGUUUCUCAACAAAAUCUAAUUUCACUCGUAACACACUGGAUUUCUACAGCUUUCACAGUCACUGGAAAAUAGCAAGUUGUGCUUACAUUGCUAAACAUAUUAGAUCAAGGAGUAAUAUGUUAGACUUUCAGGAUAUUAAUUUGCUAGGCUGCCACUAGAAAUUAAUUUUGAAUGUUCUCAAGAAAGAAUCAAAUAAAUUAAAUGCAAAGCCCAUAUGUUGUAGUAGAAAAAAUUGUUUUCUAAACUGAAAACCAAGAAUAAAAAUACUGCAUAUGUGUGCAACAGGGAUAAGUUAAAGAUACUUAAUUUUUGCAUUUUUUACUUUUGAGUAUUUUAAUUGUUCAGACUUUCACUAAACAAAUUUGAGUGAUAUCCUUUAAAAAUAAAAAGCAACAGAGGGUCCUGUGGCACCUUUAAGAC